GACGUAGGUGGCGAACGUUAUCCGGAAUUAUUGGGCGUAAAGAGCGUGUAGGCGGCCAUACAGGUCAGCUGUGAAAACUCGAGGCUCAACCUCGAGACGUCGGUUGAAACCGUAUGGCUAGAGUCCGGAAGAGGAGAGUGGAAUUCCCGGUGUAGCGGUGAAAUGCGCAGAUAUCGGGAAGAACACCCGUGGCGAAGGCGGCUCUCUGGGACGGUACUGACGCUGAGACGCGAAAGCGUGGGGAGCGAACAGG
RNAcentral lists this ribosomal RNA (253 nucleotides) under uncultured bacterium. RNAcentral's name for it is "partial 16S ribosomal RNA". It matches the Rfam family "Bacterial small subunit ribosomal RNA", at positions 524 to 776 of the family's 1533-position model. The record is from RNAcentral.